UACGUAGGGGGCAAGCGUUAUCCGGAUUUACUGGGUGUAAAGGGAGCGUAGGCGGCUUAGUAAGUCAGAAGUGAAAGCCCGCAGCUCAACUGCGGGACUGCUUUUGAAACUGCCAAGCUAGAGUGUCGGAGAGGUAAGUGGAAUUCCUAGUGUAGCGGUGAAAUGCUUAGAUAUCACGAAGAACUCCGAUUGCGAAGGCAGCUCACUGGACUGCAACUGACACUGAGGCUCGAAAGUGUGGGUAUCAAACAGG
Molecule: ribosomal RNA, 253 nt
Filed under: uncultured Eubacteriales bacterium
Lineage: Bacteria; Bacillati; Bacillota; Clostridia; Eubacteriales
Description: uncultured Clostridiales bacterium partial 16S ribosomal RNA
Rfam family: Bacterial small subunit ribosomal RNA
Source: RNAcentral